This 301-nucleotide ribosomal RNA is filed under the name uncultured bacterium. RNAcentral describes it as "partial 16S ribosomal RNA". It matches the Rfam family "Bacterial small subunit ribosomal RNA", at positions 509 to 807 of the family's 1533-position model. The record is from RNAcentral.
CAGCAGCCGCGGUAAUACGUAGGUGGCAAGCGUUGUCCGGAAUUAUUGGGCGUAAAGGGCUCGCAGGCGGUUUCUUAAGUCUGAUGUGAAAGCCCCCGGCUCAACCGGGGAGGGUCAUUGGAAACUGGGAAACUUGAGUGCAGAAGAGGAGAGUGGAAUUCCACAUGUAGCGGUGAAAUGCGUAGAGAUGUGGAGGAACACCAGUGGCGAAGGCGACUCUCUGGUCUGUAACUGACGCUGAGGAGCGAAAGCGUGGGGAGCGAACAGGAUUAGAUACCCCAGUAGUCCCUGUCUCUUAUAC